UACGGGGGGGGCAAGCGUUGUUCGGAAUUACUGGGCGUAAAGGGCUCGUAGGUGGCCAACUAAGUCAGACGUGAAAUCCCCAGGCUCAACUUGGGAACUGCGUCUGAUACUGGAUGGCUUGAAUUCGGGAGAGGGAUGCAGAAUUCCAGGUGUAGCGGUGAAAUGCGUAGAUAUCUGGAGGAACACCGGUGGCGAAGGCGGCAUCCUGGACCGGUAUUGACGCUGAGGCGCGAAAGCCAGGGGAGCAAACGGG
This 253-nucleotide ribosomal RNA is filed under the name uncultured bacterium. RNAcentral describes it as "partial 16S ribosomal RNA". It matches the Rfam family "Bacterial small subunit ribosomal RNA", at positions 524 to 776 of the family's 1533-position model. The record is from RNAcentral.